GUCACAUUGUCGAGUCCUCUAAUCUGAAAUUGAAAUUUUUCUUCAACCUACUUACCUAGUUUUUUGAUGUUUUACAUAAAUUUAUUUUAAAUACGAUACAUGAAUAUGAUUCUAAAAAUACAAGUUAUUCCUACAAACUUUAUCACAACAUACAUAAAUAUCCACGUAAGUCGCAUAUAGAAGCCGUUUCGAACAAAUACAUUUCUUCAAUCCAGGUGAAUAGAAUAAAAAAUAGAAUGACGCCAUCUCCAAAAGAAUUAUAGAGGUCUUGGGACAUAAGGGGGAAGCAAGUCGUAUAGAGAUGUCCUGUGCCUGGACAAAACAAACACAAAAGAAAAACUUUAGGUUACACAAAGAUUUAAGAUAAAAAUACGAUUUUUCCUCAAACACCUGGGAAAAACAACACAGUUCUAAUGGCAGAUUUUUGAUCUUAAUUUGACAGUUUACAUAUUUAGCUCAUGGAAUUAAUAGAUGGACGACGCGGACGACCUCGGUUGGUGCAUACUUGUCUAUCAUGUCGGAGUCAUAUGAAUCGAAGAGUUAACGAAGAAUGAUGAUUAAAAUAUAUGAUACAAAUGGCUUAAUAACCUAGGUGUAGGUAGUACCACCAUUUGUAUGAUACAUCUGUGCAUAGGUUAUACAUGUCAAGUAAUUAAUUUUGCAAUUUCAAUUGAGAUCUUCAGUUGCUACGAUAAGCCAUAAGAAACAUUUUGGUGCCCUACCAGCCACCGCCUCCGCUGUGUUGUCCUACUAGGAACUCUGUAUGAGACACUUUGCAUUCUUGCAUUGAUGGUGAGCAGGCCAGGACGCUUUCUAACAGCCCGCUCGCGGUUCGUUUUUCCCUCUACGUUACCUUUGAAUGCCCUGAGUUUUCUGUUACAACCCUGCAAUCGCAAGCGAACUAUUGGCAAUUGCAUAGCCCUGAGUAAAACCGACAACGGUACAAUGAUCCUUAAGCAGAAUAUCGUCUAUGAAUAGAGAGCUGCGCCACGGGGACUACCCUGUGAACAAUUGGUUCGACCACCAAAUUUUCUAAUAGUUUGGCACGUUAUACGAAUAAGUAAAUCUACUUACCUAGUCGUAUCAAGUGUAUAAUUAGAUAGGUAUACCUACCUAUCUAAUUAUACACUUGUUACGAAAAACAUGAUAGAAUCGCUAAGCUUACUCACGGCAUUUGUAUAACAGACAAAGAGGAACAAUAUGACAAUGAAAUAAGUCAGAUGCUGAUGCAUUAUCUAUAAUCAAACUUAUUUGUUUUGUAUCUUAAACGAUUAUUGUAUGUACUGGUACGCCCCGGUGGAAAUAAAUGUUUCGCAAAAACUUUAUUGCCUUUUAAAUUUCCAAUAACUAUAACAUUUGAUAGAAAUACGUUUUUCACUUUAUAUCCGAAGCUGUAUAGGAAAACUUGGUAUUAUCUGCGAUGGGCCUUAUUCGUCACAUGCUUUUCUGCCUAGCCAUAUUUUUUUGUUUUGCUGUCUAUGUAACAAUGGCUUGUGAGGGAUGUACUGGGCGCAAGGAUCCAGAUGGCAUAAAAGAUAAAUUUGUUAAAAUAGCGGCACCUAAAAGGAAAUUCAUGUUGCGUCUCAAGGGGAGUUCAUCUCUUUAUCUCUAAUAUAUUUAUUUAAAUUAUUAUAA
Molecule: long non-coding RNA, 1635 nt
Organism: Plodia interpunctella (Indianmeal moth)
Lineage: Eukaryota; Metazoa; Arthropoda; Insecta; Lepidoptera; Pyralidae
Exons: 4
Source: RefSeq, a predicted model, not a curated record